This 254-nucleotide ribosomal RNA is filed under the name uncultured bacterium. Its description in RNAcentral is "partial small subunit ribosomal RNA". It matches the Rfam family "Bacterial small subunit ribosomal RNA", at positions 26 to 285 of the family's 1533-position model. The record is from RNAcentral.
AGGACGAACGCUGGCGGCGUGCUUAACACAUGCAAGUCGAGCGGAAAGGCCCUUCGGGGUACUCGAGCGGCGAACGGGUGAGUAACACGUGAGCAAUCUGCCCUUAGCUCCGGGAUAGCUCCGGGAAACCGGAAUUAAUACCGGAUACGACCACAGCCGACAUCUGCUGUGGUGGAAAGGAUUCCGGCUAAGGAUGGGCUCGCGGCCUAUCAGCUAGUUGGUGGAGUAACGGCCCGCCAAGGCGACGACGGGUA